GGGCCCGUAGCUCAGCCCGGAUAGAGCGGCGGAGGAGCGGUUCCGCGGAGGUACGCUCUGCGGACCGUUGCGCUGAACCUUCUACGCGCCUACGUGGCGCGUGGAGAGCCGUAGGUCGUGGGUUCGAAUCCCAUCGGGCCCGCCA
This 145-nucleotide transfer RNA is filed under the name Pyrobaculum sp. WP30. RNAcentral describes it as "tRNA-OTHER". It matches the Rfam family "tRNA". From Rfam's summary of the family: Transfer RNA (tRNA) molecules are approximately 80 nucleotides in length. Their secondary structure includes four short double-helical elements and three loops (D, anti-codon, and T loops). Lineage: Archaea; Thermoproteati; Thermoproteota; Thermoprotei; Thermoproteales; Thermoproteaceae. The record is from RNAcentral.